ACGCUGGCGGUAUGCUUAACACAUGCAAGUUCCCAACGAAGUUCUUAGGAAACUUAGUGGCGGACGGGUGAGUAACGCGUGAGAAUUUGGCUUUAGGUCGGGGACAACCACUGGAAACGGUGGCUAAUACCGGAUAUGCCGAGAGGUGAAAGAUUUAUUGCCUGAAGAUAAGCUCGCGUCUGAUUAGCUAGUUGGUGGGGUAAGAGCCUACCAAGGCGACGAUCAGUAGCUGGUCUGAGAGGAUGAUCAGCCACACUGGGACUGAGACACGGCCCAGACUCCUACGGGAGGCAGCAGUGGGGAAUUUUCCGCAAUGGGCGAAAGCCUGACGGAGCAAUACCGCGUGAGGGAGGAAGGCUCUUGGGUCGUAAACCUCUUUUCUCAGGGAAGAAAAAAAUGACGGUACCUGAGGAAUAAGCAUCGGCUAACUCCGUGCCAGCAGCCGCGGUAAUACGGAGGAUGCAAGCGUUAUCCGGAAUGAUUGGGCGUAAAGGGUCCGUAGGUGGUACUGUAAGUCUGCUGUUAAAGAGCAAGGCUCCACCUUGUAAAAGCAGUGGAAACUACAGAACUAGAGUGCGUUCGGGGCAGAAGGAAUUCCUGGUGUAGCGGUGAAAUGCGUACAUAUCAGGAAGAACACCGGUGGC
This 644-nucleotide ribosomal RNA is filed under the name Nostocaceae cyanobiont AE1. Its description in RNAcentral is "bacterial SSU rRNA". It matches the Rfam family "Bacterial small subunit ribosomal RNA", at positions 33 to 716 of the family's 1533-position model. Lineage: Bacteria; Bacillati; Cyanobacteriota; Cyanophyceae; Nostocales; Nostocaceae. The record is from RNAcentral.